This 143-nucleotide small RNA is filed under the name Arabidopsis thaliana (thale cress). Its description in RNAcentral is "ATSL280670". The record is from RNAcentral. Lineage: Eukaryota; Viridiplantae; Streptophyta; Magnoliopsida; Brassicales; Brassicaceae.
AAUUCUAAAAUUUCACCUAUAAUAUACCGUCCCAUAUUAUUAUCAACCCAAAUCAGUUUAAGAUUUCAUCCGUAGUAUAAAGUUUAAAUAUUUAUAAUGUUUAAACUUUCUAUAUAAGACUCGAGAUGUGUUUUAAAAAUAAA